Molecule: transfer RNA, 20 nt
Filed under: Enhydris sp. HKV-2009a
Lineage: Eukaryota; Metazoa; Chordata; Lepidosauria; Squamata; Homalopsidae
Description: partial tRNA-Lys
Source: RNAcentral
GGAAACCGCUUUCCUCGGUG